Molecule: ribosomal RNA, 731 nt
Filed under: uncultured bacterium
Lineage: Bacteria
Description: bacterial SSU rRNA
Rfam family: Bacterial small subunit ribosomal RNA
Source: RNAcentral
AACAGGAUUAGAUACCCUGGUAGUCCACGCCGUAAACGAUGUCUACUAGUCGUUGGGUCCCUUGAGGACUUAGUGACGCAGCUAACGCAAUAAGUAGACCGCCUGGGGAGUACGGCCGCAAGGUUAAAACUCAAAUGAAUUGACGGGGGCCCGCACAAGCGGUGGAGCAUGUGGUUUAAUUCGAUGCAACGCGAAGAACCUUACCUGGUCUUGACAUAUCUAGAAUCCUGCAGAGAUGCGGGAGUGCCUUCGGGAAUUAGAAUACAGGUGCUGCAUGGCUGUCGUCAGCUCGUGUCGUGAGAUGUUGGGUUAAGUCCCGCAACGAGCGCAACCCUUGUCCUUAGUUACCAGCGGUUUGGCCGGGAACUCUAAGGAUACUGCCAGUGACAAACUGGAGGAAGGCGGGGACGACGUCAAGUCAUCAUGGCCCUUACGACCAGGGCUACACACGUGCUACAAUGGUAGGUACAGAGGGCAGCUACACAGCGAUGUGAUGCGAAUCUCAAAAAGCCUAUCGUAGUCCAGAUUGGAGUCUGCAACUCGACUCCAUGAAGUAGGAAUCGCUAGUAAUCGCGGAUCAGAAUGCCGCGGUGAAUACGUUCCCGGGCCUUGUACACACCGCCCGUCACACCAUGGGAGUUGAUUGCACCAGAAGUGGUUAGCCUAACCUUUUAGGAAGGCGAUCACCACGGUGUGGUUGAUGACUGGGGUGAAGUCGUAACAAGGUAACC